AUGGCAACCAGGCAACACACACGCGCGGCACACUUCCUCUGUGAAGUUAUCACGCUCUUCAGUGCUCGUUGUGGUGAUGAAUGGAAGACGUGCCUCUAUUGGACAGUAGACCUGCUUGUCCCUGCAUGAAACCUGAGAUUCAAUUGGACUGGGUCCUGCAGUGAAAUUAGAAAGAAGCAGAGAGGAGGUGGGAGGGGCAGAGGGGAUGUCCCACACGGGACAGUUGUGAAGGAUCUUUUGCUCUCAGCAUCAGUGACCCUCUGUGCCAUUACAGUUACAGGGAGAUAACAUGGCUUCUCUAAGGCAGUCAGGCCGAUCGUCUGUGGACAUAGCUAAUGUGAUGCAAAGACUGCAGGAUGAUUCCUGCCACAGUCACCUCUGAUGGAAACAAAAACUAAUCACUUCCUUUGUAGCAGAGGUCUUUUCCUGGGUUGGACCUAUCUGAUAUGGAGAGUUUGGGAAAGGAAAAAUAAAAGAUGUUAUGA
Long non-coding RNA from Archocentrus centrarchus (flier cichlid), 485 nucleotides. RefSeq lists it as uncharacterized. The transcript is spliced from 3 exons. The record is from RefSeq and is a predicted model, not a curated record. NCBI's taxonomy places the organism in Eukaryota, Metazoa, Chordata, Actinopteri, Cichliformes, Cichlidae.